This 210-nucleotide non-coding RNA is filed under the name Thermoanaerobacterium saccharolyticum. RNAcentral's name for it is "T-box sequence". It matches the Rfam family "T-box leader". From Rfam's summary of the family: Uncharged tRNA acts as the effector for transcription antitermination of genes in the T-box leader family. T-boxes are found upstream of many aminoacyl-tRNA synthetase genes and some amino acid biosynthetic genes usually in Gram-positive bacteria. Lineage: Bacteria; Bacillati; Bacillota; Clostridia; Thermoanaerobacterales; Thermoanaerobacteraceae. The record is from RNAcentral.
GAAAAAGCGAUGAAGAGGACAAUUUAUGCAAACAAAACUUUUAAGAGAGUUGGCGGUCGGUGAAAGCCAAUAAGUUAGUUUGUCAUAUAUCACCUCGAAGCUGCUGGCUGAAAUUCAGUAGGCUAAGCCGGGAAAACCCCGUUAUCUCAUGAGUGAUUAAGGCAUUGUGCCUUAAUAAUUAGGGUGGUACCGCGACUUCUCGUCCCUUUG